CCCUCUGGUGACUGAUGCAAUAGAAUGAGCUCCAUCAGCAAGAGAGAUGGUUUUCCAGGAAGCUGCCUUGGUACCAUCUCUGACACCAUGAGAUGCAAUACCAAUAAUCAACCAGUAGAUGUCAGAACAGACCACAACUUGCAAAGAGAAGCUUGCUCUUGGAAAUGCUAGGCAAUGCACUUUAGAGCCCGGCUGCCUCUGAGUAGUGCCGUCAGCAGGUGGAAGCAGCAGGAGGAGCAGCUGAGGCAGCCCAGCCUCACACUUCUGCUUUCUGGAUCCUCUGAUGCUGAUUCUGGAUGGGAGCUCAUGUUGGAAAAAGUUUGCAGGAUACAUCAGGAAAUUGGAGCUUUCCCUGCUUCCUAUUGAUAUCAGUGUCAAAUAACUAAGGCUCUGACUUUCCUGGUGGGACACUGUGAUUCCGUCUCCUUAAGCUGUAGACCUGGAUUGUGAUUAUCUAUAUUCAGAUUUGGUGUUCCUUGGAUUUACACACUGUAGCUCCUCCUCUGUAUUCUUUAGUAAUCAGAUCAAUGUCUUCAGAAAGAGAGGUCCCUUCUCUGCCAAAACGCCUCAUUGAUAUCCUUGGAUCUACAAUUGUUUUUCUUCAUUUAUGGAGAAUUUCUACUAAAUUCUUCCUCUAUUUAUGAAGACUGUGUAAUCUGGGUGUUACAUCUGGUAUCUGAGAUUGGAAACAUACAAACAAAUAUCCACAUACUGAACCUUGUUAUGAGAGAAUGCAUUUAUAGACCAAGUACAUCGGAUCCCACUGUGCUGGAAAACUCCUCAAGUGUUGAAACUUCCUGCUUUAAAAUAAAAGUAGCUGGGUGCCCAGGAGUUGUAUGGGCACCCUUAUGUCCA
This is a non-coding RNA of Ictidomys tridecemlineatus (thirteen-lined ground squirrel), 855 nucleotides long. NCBI's taxonomy places the organism in Eukaryota, Metazoa, Chordata, Mammalia, Rodentia, Sciuridae. The record is from RefSeq and is a predicted model, not a curated record.